This 460-nucleotide ribosomal RNA is filed under the name uncultured bacterium. Its description in RNAcentral is "partial 16S ribosomal RNA". It matches the Rfam family "Bacterial small subunit ribosomal RNA", at positions 338 to 795 of the family's 1533-position model. The record is from RNAcentral.
CCUACGGGAGGCAGCAGUGAGGAAUAUUGGUCAAUGGACGAGAGUCUGAACCAGCCAAGUAGCGUGAAGGAUGACUGCCCUAUGGGUUGUAAACUUCUUUUAUAUGGGAAUAAAAUGUUCCACGUGUGGGAUUUUGUAUGUAACAUAUGAAUAAGGAUCGGCUAACUCCGUGCCAGCAGCCGCGGUAAUACGGAGGAUCCGAGCGUUAUCCGGAUUUAUUGGGUUUAAAGGGAGCGUAGGUGGAUUGUUAAGUCAGUUGUGAAAGUUUGCGGCUCAACCGUAAAAUUGCAGUUGAAACUGGCAGUCUUGAGUACAGGAGAGGUGGGCGGAAUUCGUGGUGUAGCGGUGAAAUGCUUAGAUAUCACGAAGAACUCCGAUUGCGAAGGCAGUUCACUGGACUGCAACUGACACUGAGGCUCGAAAGUGUGGGUAUCAAACAGGAUUAGAUACCCCAGUAGUC